Molecule: long non-coding RNA, 2069 nt
Filed under: Olea europaea subsp. europaea
Lineage: Eukaryota; Viridiplantae; Streptophyta; Magnoliopsida; Lamiales; Oleaceae
Source: RNAcentral
UGAAGUACAUCCAGGACUGGGGUGGAAUUGAUUGAAGAGGAGAAGAGGGUUGAGACGGAAAGAGAGUGGAAAAAGCUGAGAGCGGAGGAGACUGCACUCUACCUGAAGAAGCUGGACUUCAUUCACACACGUAUAAAGCAAGUUUUAGAUGUUUUGAAGUCGUCAAAGCCUUGAAUUUUGAAGAGGUAUUGUUUGUUGUUGUUCUGAGGCAGGCAGUUUGUCAUUAAUCUAUGUUUUGAGCUCAUAAUUUUCCUUUACUGUAAUCACGAGUUUUUAGCUUCCUAGUUCACUAUCAAUCAUGUUCCUCUUAAUAAUGGAAACUGUAGAAAUGCUCUCUAUGUUUAACCUUUAUAUAUAUAUAUAUAUAUACACAUAUCAAUCUUGAUCACCAACAUGUUUGUGUUUAAUGUGUCAAUGUAAUUUUGGCUUGCUUUAUUCGUUUAUUAUUAUUUUUUAAUGCCAUAGUACUUAUUUCUUAUUUAUCAUAUGGCAUAUCCUGUUGUAUCUGAUCUUGAUUAGAGUAUUUCCUUUGUUUGUUGGAAUUUGAAUUGACCAAUAAUUUGUUAAAAGUGUCCACAGUACUUGUUUCUUUUUACUUUGUAUAUUUUGUUUCUCCUUUAACUUUGGGAGAUGCUCUAUUAGUUAACGAGGACAUACAAGCAGUUACAUAACAAUUAUAAGGAAAUUAAGAAUAUGAAAAUGGUACAAUCUUUAAUAGGGUUCCUCUGGGACCAACAACUGAAUGGACCUAUUGAUCAUUUUGUGUUGAUUAUCUCUAAGUGUCUCAAAAAGACAUGUUACCUGGUGUGUGUUAGGUCAAAAUAAUUACACUGUAAUAUAAAUCUGAACAAUUCAUAGUAAAUAGUUUUGGUCAUUGGAUGUACUUCUGUGAAUAUUGACUGUUUCUAUUAACAUAUGAUUGACUACUCACUUCUAUAGAUGGUCAAUUUGUAGGGAUUUCAAUAAUCGUUAAACAACUUUUCCGGAUAGAGUUUUUGAUAAAAUAUCUGAAGGGUCGUGUUUUGUGCUUUCUAUUCUUAAAUCCUUCCCCACAGCCCAAAAAAAGCCAGAAUGUUCAUUAAAUACUUAAUUCUUGUAAGGAUGAUAAGCUAGAGUCUGAUAUAGAUUCUAUAUUUAAGUUUCCAUUUGUUCUUUACAAGAGAGAAUGCUGUUGAUAAUUUUCUUUUUGCUGACAAAUUGCAUAUUUGAGUUCAGGAUAUUGCUUAUCUGAAUUCAGGAUAACAUUAUUAGCAUCCUUCAAGUGAUAUCUGCACCUUCAUCUUUCUCGAAUGUUUACUUUAUAACCCUAAGUUCCCUUCUAAGAUUCCAAACUCAAUCGCUGUUUGUUAGUGAUUGACAUCUUAUGAAAUAAAUUGGACUUUUUAUACAACUUAUGGAAUAUUUCAGGUUGGGAUUGAUGGUUCAAGGUGGUCAAGGAUUUCAAUGGGCAUUGUUUGGAAAGUUGAAGGCUUUUCCGAAGUGUUCGACAAUAUGGAUUUUGAAAAAGAAAGAACUAGAUUCUCGGCAGUAGUUUUGUGCAUGUAGACGCUGAACACAAGUAAAUGAGAUUUCCAGGAACAGAGUCUUGCCAUGUGCAGUUUUUUCUUUCUUCACAGUUAAAUUUUAGUGUGUACGAGCAAGACGGCAACCAUAUUGGUUUGAGGAAUCAAAAGAAAGAACCCCUUUAAUGACUGGAAGUUCCUGCCAUUUUAACAACUCUAAUUGGUGAAAGCUUUAGUAUCUUGAAUUCUAAACAAGAAAAUCAGAUGUUGGGCACAAUGUUAUAUUUAUUAGAAACACUUUGUCCUAUUUCUUUUAGCAUCAAAUGUUGGAUAAAAUCAUGAAACCCAUAUCAGCCGUUUACCUGAUCUUGUGCCUUUUAAUUUGAUAUUCACAUCUUUAGUUCUUGAUACUCUGUUUGCAAAGCUAGAAGGCAAACAAUUCCGGUUAUUGCUUUUUGAAAGAGAUUAUUCCAUUUCUUUGUUGUUUGAUGAGCAUACCAGCUAGGCUUUAUCAAUUUCUUUUUCUUUUGAUUUUUUCUAUUAUCUUAGGUUCCAGUAUUGAAAAAG